RNAcentral lists this ribosomal RNA (467 nucleotides) under uncultured bacterium. Its description in RNAcentral is "partial 16S ribosomal RNA". It matches the Rfam family "Bacterial small subunit ribosomal RNA", at positions 28 to 507 of the family's 1533-position model. The record is from RNAcentral.
GAUGAACGCUGGCGGCGUGCUUAACACAUGCAAGUCGAACGGAAAGGCCCAAGCUUGCUUGGGUACUCGAGUGGCGAACGGGUGAGUAACACGUGGGUGAUCUGCCCUGCACUUCGGGAUAAGCCUGGGAAACUGGGUCUAAUACCGGAUAGGACCACUUCUUGGAUGUUGUGGUGGAAAGUUUUUUCGGUGUGGGAUUAGCUCGCGGCCUAUCAGCUUGUUGGUGGGGUAAUGGCCUACCAAGGCGUCGACGGGUAGCCGGCCUGAGAGGGUGUACGGCCACAUUGGGACUGAGGUACGGCCCAGACUCCUACGGGAGGCAGCAGUGGGGAAUAUUGCACAAUGGGCGCAAGCCGGAUGCAGCGACGCCGCGUGGGGGAUGACGGCCUUCGGGUUGUAAACUCCUUUCGCUAGGGACGAAGCGUUUUGUGACGGUACCUGGAGAAGAAGCACCGGCUAACUACGUG